Molecule: long non-coding RNA, 607 nt
Filed under: Ictidomys tridecemlineatus (thirteen-lined ground squirrel)
Lineage: Eukaryota; Metazoa; Chordata; Mammalia; Rodentia; Sciuridae
Description: lncRNA (ENSSTOG00000032650.1)
Source: RNAcentral
GCCAGGGCCUGCUGCUCUAAGGCUUGCUCCCACUGUACACAUUUUGGUCUCUCUUUGGUUUCUUCUCUGCCAACGUGUGAAACUUGCCUUAGAUCAGAGUUGAUGCACUGACUGACUAACUGACAGGCCACCCUGAAAAACUGCCAACCCAGGCUGGGGUUUGGAUAGCAAAAUAUGAGGCUGGAAACCGCCUGAGAACUGAGCUCAGCUCCCUCUACUGAGAUGGGCCUCUGUCCAACCUACAAGAAAUGAAGAACAGUGGCCAUUCAGCCAACCAGGAGUUCAUUUCCAAAUAAUCCUUCCCACGACCUCGACAGAGUCCCCAAGCACAGCUCUGCAGGGGCAUGUUCCAGAGGCCUGUGGAGCCCCACACCCCGGCCUGGCAGCCCCCAGCCCUGACUGCUGCCUGCUGCCCUCCUGCUGUGGCUAGCCAAGGAGAGGAGAGGACAGAUGAAGAUUCUUCCCUCAGUAACCCAGGAGAACAUUUCUUAUGAGCUCUGAAGAAGAAUCGAAGCUGCCAGGCACAUUUUAUGGGUCAUAUGCAAUUGAUUUCCUGACUCCUGCCUUCACUGAAAAUCACUAAACUGUGAUAGAAAAAAAAUUAUGU